RNAcentral lists this ribosomal RNA (628 nucleotides) under Cronobacter dublinensis subsp. dublinensis. RNAcentral's name for it is "bacterial SSU rRNA". It matches the Rfam family "Bacterial small subunit ribosomal RNA", at positions 100 to 725 of the family's 1533-position model. Lineage: Bacteria; Pseudomonadati; Pseudomonadota; Gammaproteobacteria; Enterobacterales; Enterobacteriaceae. The record is from RNAcentral.
GACGGGUGAGUAAUGUCUGGGAAACUGCCUGAUGGAGGGGGAUAACUACUGGAAACGGUAGCUAAUACCGCAUAACGUCUUCGGACCAAAGUGGGGGACCAAGUGGCCUCAUGCCAUCAGAUGUGCCCAGAUGGCCUUAGCUAGUAGGUGGGGUAAAGGCUCACCUAGGCGACGAUCCCUAGCUGGUCUGCCUGGAUGACCAGCCACACUGGAACUGAGACACGGUCCAGACUCCUACGGGAGGCAGCAGUGGGGAAUAUUGCACAAUGGGCGCAAGCCUGAUGCAGCCAUGCCGCGUGUAUGAAGAAGGCCUUCGGGUUGUAAAGUACUUUCAGCGAGGAGGAAGGUGUUGUGGUUAAUAACCNCAGCAAUUGACGUUACUCGCAGAAGAAGCACCGGCUAACUCCGUGCCAGCAGCCGCGGUAAUACGGAGGGUGCAAGCGUUAAUCGGAAUUACUGGGCGUAAAGCGCACGCAGGCGGUUUGUUAAGUCAGAUGUGAAAUCCCCGGGCUCAACCUGGGAACUGCAUUUGAAACUGGCAAGCUUGAGUCUCGUAGAGGGGGGUAGAAUUCCAGGUGUAGCGGUGAAAUGCGUAGAGAUCUGGAGGAAUACCGGUGGCGAAGGCGGC